RNAcentral lists this ribosomal RNA (229 nucleotides) under uncultured bacterium. Its description in RNAcentral is "partial 16S ribosomal RNA". It matches the Rfam family "Bacterial small subunit ribosomal RNA", at positions 568 to 796 of the family's 1533-position model. The record is from RNAcentral.
UACGUAGGCGGAAUAUUAAGUCAGUGGUGAAAUCCUGCGGCUCAACCGUAGAACUGCCAUUGAUACUGAUAUUCUUGAAUGUAGUUGAGGUAGGCGGAAUGUGUAAUGUAGCGGUGAAAUGCUUAGAUAUUACACAGAACACCGAUUGCGAAGGCAGCUUACUAAACUAUCACUGACGCGGAUGCACGAAAGAGUGGGGAGCGAACAGGAUUAGAUACCCUGGUAGUCC